AUUGAACGCUGGCGGCAGGCCUAACACAUGCAAGUCGAACGAGUGGCGGACGGGUGAGUAAUGUCUGGGAAACUGCCCGAUGGAGGGGGAUAACUACUGGAAACGGUAGCUAAUACCGCAUACCAUCGGAUGUGCCCAGAUGGGAUUAGCUAGUAGGUGGGGUAACGGCUCACCUAGGCGACGAGCCCUAGCUGGUCUGAGAGGAUGACCAGCGACACGGGAACUAAGAUACGGCCCAAACACAUACGGUAGGCAGCGAUGGUGAAUAUUGCACAAAGGGGGAAACCCUGAUGCAGCAACGCCGGGUGCGGGAUGACGGCCUUCGGGUUGUAAGCCGCUUUCAGCCAUGACGCGGUAGUGGCAGAAGAAGCACCGGCUAACUACGUGCCAGCAGCCGCGGUAAUAC
Molecule: ribosomal RNA, 406 nt
Filed under: uncultured bacterium
Lineage: Bacteria
Description: partial 16S ribosomal RNA
Rfam family: Bacterial small subunit ribosomal RNA
Source: RNAcentral